CUCUCGCGCCCCGGCGUUGUCAGAGCGGCGGAGCGGCGCGGGAACUGCGCGUCUCGAAGUUCGGGGCGAGCAGCGCCGCGUCCCCGCAAGAAGGGGUGCGAUGACGUAGAGCGGAGCCUAAGAGGCUCCUGCUGGAUGCGUCUCCCCAUAGUCCCGUUCUAACCACAGUGUGCCCGCAGGAAAGUGAAGGGAGCCCGCAGGAAAGUGAAGGGAGCCCACAUGCGAGUUUGCGUUUGUGUAGGUAGGCCGGCUGUGAGUGACAGACCCAGCGCUGCCCACAGACGGGUGCCCCAUGCAUCCUGCCACCCAGCUGCUGUCAGAUAUCCACGAGGAGCUCCGUGCUGCUGGGCAAGGUGACCACAGCCUGGUUCACACCAUUAAACAAAGGCAACACAGAGCAGCACCUCAGUUCCUCUUCAGGACAUUUACCCGGUGCUUCGAGACAAAUGUAUUUCCACAUACCUGGCAGGAUAGGCCACCUCCUAGGGGUUGGAAGGGACCUCUGGAGACCAUCUGGGCCAACCCCUGCCACAGCAGCUCCCCACGGCAGGUCGCACAGGUAGGCGUCCACGUGGGUCUUGAGUAUCUCCAGACGAGACUCCGCAGCCUCUCUGGGCAGCCUGUUCCAGUGCUCUGCCACCCUCACAGCGAAUAAGUUUUCCCCAUAUUCGUGUGGAACUUUGUACGUUCCGGUUUGUACCCACUGCCCCUUGUUCUGCCACUGGGUAUCACCAGAGCCUGGCUCCAUCUGCACGGCUUCCUCUCAUUAGAUAUUUAUAAACAGCAGUGAGACCCCCUCUAAGUCUCCUCCAGGCUGAACAGCCCCAGGACUCUCAGCCUUCCCUCGUUCAGGAGAUGCUCCAGACCUUCAUCGUCUCUGUGGCCCUCCACUGCACUCUCUCUAGAAUAUCCCUGUCUUUCUCGAACUGAGGAGCCCAGAACCGACACAGCACUCUAGAUGUGGCUGCACCAGGACCUUUACAAGCCAUGCUCAGCUCAGACAUAACUGUAGUUCCAUUUCCUAGGGGCUGGAUGAGACUCCUCACUGCCCAUCCUUGAUGCAGCCAAAGGGAGGGACCCCGGUGGGAGUCACUGCCACAGCUGUGCUUCAUAGUUUGGGGUGAUAAAGGCUGGUCCUCCUGUCUUGAAAAAGGGACCAGGAAGGUGAAUUACUCAAAUCAGUCCUAUUGGAAGGUAAUUGCAUGGAUAACAGCAGCCCCGAGAGAGAAGGCCACAGUUAUUGGCAGCCAGUUGGGCGAGAUCCACUUUACCCUGUGCCCGGAGAGCCUAUUGAUCCCCUAAGAGCAAACCCUGCUUUCACACAGUGUCCUACCCAGAAGCAAAUAUCCAACUGUGCCGGCCUGAGAUCUGCAGAGGGACAUGCAUGGGAGGACACACUGGGUCUAGCAGCACAGGACAGGGCUUUGGAGAGCCCCUGAGGCUCCAAGCGAGCAAUGCUGUAGGUACAGACUGGGCAAAUCCAAACCCUCACUGGGAAAGCACCUUCCCUAUGGGGAAGCCAUAGCUUUAUUCCUUUGCCCAAAAGCCAGCAGCAUCUGGCCUCGGGGCUGUGCAUGCCGUGGUUCAUGCAUAGGCUUCCAGUCCAGCAAGGACCGAGGCUGUAAAGUGAAGCACAUCCACCAGCCCUGCUGUACUCCUGUGCUCAUUGGUGUUGCAGGAGAAACUAAUAGAACCAUCAUAAAGUCACUCUGAAUGUUUGUCCUAAGAGGACAUCCUAACUCAUUUGUAUGGUAAGUUGCUGCUUGUCUACUAGCUUUCAGGACCAGAUUCCACCACACCCUGUUUCCAUCUGCAUUAGACGGAGCUGUCAGCAUCUCACCUCUGACAAAAAGAGCAUCAGUAUUCCUUGGCAGCAGGCAGGGGAAGCUCUGCAUACAGUGAGCACUUUAACACCCUCGUGGAUGUGCAGGCCUGUGAGCCUGGAGAUGUUUGCUCAGCCAGACCAAGUGGCUGAGCCCAGCCUCCUCUGGUGCAAGCGGCCAUUAGACAUAGAGGGAGCCGAUCCUCUUUCCGUUCACCUGCCUCCUGCAUGGCCAUGCUGGUGGGACCGGAACCGCCCCGAGCUGCAUGGGCCCUCCCUGCACUGCAGAUUUUGUGUUGUGCUCAUUUUCAAACAACCCCUCCCCUCCCACUGGGGCUUCAGGCAGCAUCCCUUCCAUAGGAUAAACCGCCUCUUCCUCAGCUUGGUUACAGCAACCCUAAAAUUGGAAGUGAGAACUUAGCAGGAAGAAAGAGCUGGGAUCUUAUUGAGAUCAACUCUAUUUCUGUCACAUUGACUGAGACAGGCAGUUGGCCUUGUUCUGCUCCCGCCUACCUCAGUGCGAGCCCUGGCUUGCUUUACCCUGAUGCAGCACCGCUCGGCCUCGGCCCCUCACCCAGGGCUCCCGCCCCGCAUGUGACUAUAAGCAAGCCACCAGUGGUCAGCCCUGCACAGCCAAAAUCAGGCAACGGGGAAAGUAGAAUUCACAUUAAUGGGUUCCAAAUGUUGAUGGCAUUAGUCAACGAGCAAAGUGCUCUGGGUCAUAGGACAAGCUUGUUUGCCAUCCUCCCCUGCUCCCCUGAGGCUGUGAGCAAUAAUUAGGCUCACCAUCUUCCUUGCACUGAUAUGACAAACCAGUUUAACAGGAGAGCUCUUCCCUUGCCAGUCGGUCGUACCAAAGGCAGUUGAGCCCCAUACCGGCCUGUUCAGCUUUCUUCUAAAAGAUUUCACCUUUGAAUGGGACGACAGCUUAGCUGAGAGCAUCUCCUGCCUUCAUAGAGCCACUCCCCCACCCAGAAACCACCCUCACCUCCCUCUGCUCUCACAGCUGCCAGCUGGUCUCACAGCGCACCUGUCUAUCCCUUUAGUUUUCCCCAUCUUCAGUGGUGCUAGUGGUGUGCCCUUGCUGGUCCCUGCAGGUGACAGAAGGUGAGGUUGGGUGGAGGACAGUAGCCCACGGGUUGCUUAUCCCAAGUUCUUUCGCUGAGAGCUCACCGCUGCUUCCAGCUUAAUGAGCUGCACCAGCAUUGCAGAGCCUCUAUAAACGGUGUUGCUUGAAGAGGAACGGCGAUGUCCCCGCUGUGGUUCAGGUGUCCCUCAGCCCUUCAGGAGGUGCUUGUAUGAAAGCCACCAGGAGUUUGAGGAAGGGCACUGAGGUUUAACAUGUUAAGAGAAAGCUAAAGACCAGUUUGGCUCCCACUGGGUGAGCCUGUCUCAGCAGCCUGCCACCAGACUUCAAGCGUGCAGGGAAGUGCCCAUGCUCUUAGCAAAUACACUGAUGCAAGACAUUCAGAUAACAAAGCCAAGGGGUGAGCUAAAAGGGAAAAUAGUACUUCGACUUUCUCAAGACGAGGAUCCGUUCUUAGGCAAGGCUGACCAGCUAAUCAGUAUAACCAACGCUUGCUUAAAUCUUUUAAGGCAAAUCCUGCUCCCUUGACUCACGGGACUGACAUCCUAAGGGACUUCUGCUGCUCUUGGUACAAAGAAAACAAGCAGAUGCAAUCUAGGGAGAUGAGGAAGCUGGCUCCUCCAUGCCCGCUUCUCAGUACAGCAAACAGUACUUGGCCAGAAGUACAGAUUUCAUACAAAAUGCCCACGCUUGCUUAGAAUGCAGAUAGCCCACGCUUGAAUUAGACUAACCAUUGCUAAUAGAAAAUCUCAGAG
Molecule: long non-coding RNA, 3664 nt
Organism: Gallus gallus (chicken)
Lineage: Eukaryota; Metazoa; Chordata; Aves; Galliformes; Phasianidae
Source: Ensembl